UGAAGUUGUUGCCGGUGUCGCGAUGUUG
This 28-nucleotide small RNA is filed under the name Bombyx mori (domestic silkworm). RNAcentral describes it as "ovarian small RNA-31038". The record is from RNAcentral. Lineage: Eukaryota; Metazoa; Arthropoda; Insecta; Lepidoptera; Bombycidae.